This 253-nucleotide ribosomal RNA is filed under the name uncultured bacterium. RNAcentral describes it as "partial 16S ribosomal RNA". It matches the Rfam family "Bacterial small subunit ribosomal RNA", at positions 524 to 776 of the family's 1533-position model. The record is from RNAcentral.
UACAGGGGGUGCAAACGUUGCUCGGAAUCAUUGGGCGUAAAGCGCACGUAGGCGGUUCGUUAUGUCGGAUGUGAAAGCCCUUGGCUUAACCGAGGAAGUGCAUCCGAAACUGGCGAGCUAGAGUACGAAAGAGGAUCGCGGAAUUCCCGGUGUAGAGGUGAAAUUCGUAGAUAUCGGGAGGAACACCAGUGGCGAAGGCGAGUCUCUGGACGACACCUGACACUGAGGCACGAAAGCUAGGGGAGCAAACAGG